RNAcentral lists this ribosomal RNA (460 nucleotides) under uncultured bacterium. Its description in RNAcentral is "partial 16S ribosomal RNA". It matches the Rfam family "Bacterial small subunit ribosomal RNA", at positions 338 to 795 of the family's 1533-position model. The record is from RNAcentral.
CCUACGGGAGGCAGCAGUGAGGAAUAUUGGUCAAUGGCCGUAAGGCUGAACCAGCCAAGUCGCGUGAAGGAAGAAGGAUCUAUGGUUUGUAAACUUCUUUUAUAGGGGAAUAAAGGUAUCCACGUGUGGAUAUUUGCAUGUACCCUAUGAAUAAGCAUCGGCUAACUCCGUGCCAGCAGCCGCGGUAAUACGGAGGAUGCGAGCGUUAUCCGGAUUUAUUGGGCUUAAAGGGUACGUAGGUUGUUUUUUAAGUCAGCGGUGAAAGUUCGUGGCUCAACCAGAAAAUUGCCGUUGAAACUGGAAGACUUGAGUGUGUUAGAGGUAGGCAGAAUGCGUGGUGUAGCGGUGAAAUGCAUAGAUAUCACGCAGAACUCCGAUGGCGAAGGCAGCUUACUAAGCCAUAACUGACACUGAAGUACGAAAGCGUGGGGAGCAAACAGGAUUAGAUACCCUAGUAGUC